AUCUAAAUAGUUUAAAUAAGAAUGACAGUUUGUGGUAUUGUAGGUAUAAUAUAUUAUUUUAGGUC
This 65-nucleotide transfer RNA is filed under the name Cantao ocellatus. Its description in RNAcentral is "tRNA-His". The record is from RNAcentral. Lineage: Eukaryota; Metazoa; Arthropoda; Insecta; Hemiptera; Scutelleridae.